This 1067-nucleotide long non-coding RNA is filed under the name Nothobranchius furzeri (turquoise killifish). RNAcentral's name for it is "lncRNA (ENSNFUG00015015664.1)". The record is from RNAcentral. Lineage: Eukaryota; Metazoa; Chordata; Actinopteri; Cyprinodontiformes; Nothobranchiidae.
UUACGAGGUACAACAAACCUGCUGAUCCUCACGCAGAUAUUUCCAGUGAGGCUGAUGGCUCUCCGGAGCCGCAGAAUCGUGGUAAUCUGACACCUGAGAUGAGGAGCAUGGUAGAUGAUUCUGUGAUGGAGAAGGCUGAUGUUGAUGAAGAAACGCUGAAGUCCCGUGAAAGCUGCGGUGUGGGAAUAUUGAUCCGAAACAACGAUGCAUUUCAACAGUGGAAGGAGAGCCAGGCAGGCAGUGUGGAACGUGAAACUCGAGCUUUAAGAGACUCGAGACCAGAAGCACAGUCAGGGAGCGCAGACCAUGAUGCGGGAACUCAUUCUGAUGGAAACGAUGGUGAAGCUCAGAGGUCAACAGAGAUCCAGCUAGACUCCUGUGAGAUGGAGGCGGAUUCAUCAGGUGUAAGGCAGGAUUAUGUAAACAAGCUGGCAGCAGGAAGUCAGAGGAUAGAAAACCCAAAGAGAGUCACCUUCAUCCUGGAGCCCGAGCUGAUUAACAGCUCGCCCGUGACUGAGAGCGAUACCUCAAUGGAGUCCAGGACUGAGACAAGUCUGUCAGACGAUGGAUUGAGCUCUCACGAUGAGACCGGGACCGCUGAAGUAAUCGACAAGAUGUUUGAAGAGGUGCUGGAAUGUGCCGGAAAUGUGGAAGAAAAGGAGCGAGUGGAUGAAGAUGCAGAGGACUGCGAUAGUGGUAUCGGUGCUUGCUCUGGAGAUAAAGACAAGAUGGACACCGACGUGCAGAAGGAGACGAGUGAAGAAGCAACAGAAGAGGGGAAGAAUGAAAGCAACAAGCUGGACAGUUAUGGAGAUGAGCUGCUGACCUUUCCUCCAAGCGUCAUCCUCUCUCCUCUCAGCAAGUCUGUAGAAGCUGCGGUCACCCCGAUGCGGCUGGCAGCAGCUCAGGAGUCAAGCUCUUCAUCGUUGCUCCUGACUCCAGAAGAAACCAGCACCCCUCCGGCUGACUUCGCUCCACUUUACAGGUACCUCGUUUUGGUUUUACAGAACAAAAAGGAGGACAAGCUCGUAAAAAGCUUUGUUUUUAUUUUACAAGUGGGUCUCUAA